Clupea harengus (Atlantic herring) is the source of this 1086-nucleotide long non-coding RNA. The record is from Ensembl. NCBI's taxonomy places the organism in Eukaryota, Metazoa, Chordata, Actinopteri, Clupeiformes, Clupeidae.
GGCAAUUAAUCUUAAGGUGCAACUUAAACUGAAGGACUUCAAUAAGCACUACAUGCUUGUAGCACUUAAGGCUGACACAGCACAAACUCAUGCGAAGCCCCUGGAUAUGACAGCCGAAGAAUCGAUGGCCGGCCAUCGGCAGCCCACGCGUGCCCCAACCUCCCCCCCCCCCCCCCCUUGGCUUGACCUUUGCCCUCCUCUAUUACUAGGAAUAGCCAAGGUCAAUGAUCAAGGUCACCUCCACUCACCCCUGUGCGACACCUUGGCUCCCGACAUUAUGCAGGCUUGGGACCGGGGCUCCGUCGGUGGAGGCAAUUUGUCACCUUCCGCCAAAUAACCUGCAAUUAUUUUAAGGCCGCGGAGGCGCCAUGCAUCACUGGGCACGAGCCUGCGAUCGGCCCGGGCGGAGGGACGAAGCGGGGCGGCGGUGUGUGUGUGUGAGGAACAGGGACAGCGGGUCCCUGGGUGGGGGUUUUUAGGGGACACUAUGUGGGUGACCCCUGUACGCUGCCCUGGACGCUUAAGAUUUAACGGGAGUGAAAUAUAGAUUCAUCGGUCAUGGGAGUGGAAGGGCGUAUAAAUAGAUCAAAACCCCACAGUGGUGUUGCAUUUCUUUUUUUUAUGUUUUUUUUUUUAAAUGGGGACCUUAGCACUGAGCGAGUGGAUGGAGAGGAGAAGAGUUGGGUUGUGGUGCGGGGGAAGGUGUGUGUGUAGGUGUAGGUAGGUCACAUAAGCUUUGGGAGAAUGUGAGACAUAUGGUGUGCUGUUUUUCCCUCUUCUCUUUUCCUCUCCCCUGAGAACUUAUCAUACAUUACAGAAACACCUUUCCUGGAACACAAUAGUUACAGUUAUGUCACGCAUAUCACAUUUACAUUUAGUCAUUUAGCAGACACUUUUAUCCAAAGCCAUGCACAAGGGAGAGAACAAUCAAGCUACGAGCAAUAGAGACCUAGUGUAACAGUAAAUACUAUUUUACAUAAGAAAUAGAAAAAAGUGCAGGAAUGUAACUUCUGUUGUUGCAAGUUAAGUACUAGUAGAAGUGCAAGUUAGGAAGGGAAGUGCUCUCUGAAGAGUUGGGUCUUCAAG